Long non-coding RNA from Pezoporus occidentalis (night parrot), 345 nucleotides. RefSeq lists it as uncharacterized. NCBI's taxonomy places the organism in Eukaryota, Metazoa, Chordata, Aves, Psittaciformes, Psittacidae. The transcript has 2 exons. The record is from RefSeq and is a predicted model, not a curated record.
CCAGUUCUCAGUGUGCAGUCGUACAACGUGUCUGCUCACCUUUUUACCCCUCCUGCGUGUCGAGCAAGGAGCAGAACGUGUCUGGCUCCCAUCUGCACAGGGUAGCCGAGCUGGGCGUGCCUUUUCGCUUGGGUUCACCAUAUGGUACCAGAACAGCUUUGUGAGCAUGGAGCAGGGAUAAUUCAUGGGCCCUGGGCUGUGGAGAGGAGAGGCUGCCAAAAGAAAUGUCUUUGGAACCGGAGCCAAGUCAUCAGGUAAAAGGCUCUCUGCCUGCCCAUGCCAAGCAGGGCCUUUUGCUAUGAUCCAAAUAUUUAUGUCUUUACAAAAUACAUAAACAUUUCAACA